UGGGGAAUAUUGCACAAUGGGCGCAAGCCUGAUGCAGCGACGCCGCGUGAGGGAUGACGGCCUUCGGGUUGUAAACCUCUUUCAGCAGGGACGAAGCGCAAGUGACGGUACCUGCAGAAGAAGCACCGACCAACUACGUGCCAGCAGCCGCGGUAAUACGUAGGGUGCGAGCGUUGUCCGGAAUUACUGGGCGUAAAGAGCUCGUAGGCGGUUUGUCGCGUCGUCUGUGAAAUUCUGCAGCUUAACUGCAGGCGUGCAGGCGAUACGGGCAGACUUGAGUACUACAGGGGAGACUGGAAUUCCUGGUGUAGCGGUGAAAUGCGCAGAUAUCAGGAGGAACACCGGUGGCGAAGGCGGGUCUCUGGGUAGUAACUGACGCUGAGGAGCGAAAGCGUGGGUAGCGAACA
This 407-nucleotide ribosomal RNA is filed under the name uncultured bacterium. RNAcentral describes it as "bacterial SSU rRNA". It matches the Rfam family "Bacterial small subunit ribosomal RNA", at positions 355 to 774 of the family's 1533-position model. The record is from RNAcentral.